GGGGGGUUGAUCUAACCUGGUAUGAUGCCAGGUUUGGGACCUGGCAAUCCGAGUUCAAAUCUCGGACCCCCCA
RNAcentral lists this transfer RNA (73 nucleotides) under Candidatus Micrarchaeota archaeon CG10_big_fil_rev_8_21_14_0_10_45_29. RNAcentral describes it as "tRNA-Pro". It matches the Rfam family "tRNA". From Rfam's summary of the family: Transfer RNA (tRNA) molecules are approximately 80 nucleotides in length. Their secondary structure includes four short double-helical elements and three loops (D, anti-codon, and T loops). The record is from RNAcentral. Lineage: Archaea; Nanobdellati; Microcaldota.